CCUACGGGGGGCUGCAGUAAGGAAUAUUGGUCAAUGGACGAAAGUCUGAACCAGCCAUGCCGCGUGGAGGAUGAAGGUCCUCUGGAUUGUAAACUUCUUUUAUAUGGGACGAAAAAAGGCCUUUCUAGGCCGUCUGACGGUACCAUAUGAAUAAGCACCGGCUAACUCCGUGCCAGCAGCCGCGGUAAUACGGCGGGUGCAAGCGUUAUCCGGAUUAACGGGUGUUUAGGUGGGUUUAUAAGUGAGGAUAGAAAUCUCCGAGCUUAACUUGGAAACUGCCAUUGAUACUAUUAAUCUUGAAUAUUGUGGAGGUUAGCGGAAUAUGUCAUGUAGCGGUGAAAUGCUUAGAUAUGACAUAGAACACCAAUUGCGAAGGCAGCUGGCUACACAUAUAUUGACACUGAGGCACGAAAGCGUGGGGAUCAAACAGGAUUAGAUACCCCGGUAGUC
This 450-nucleotide ribosomal RNA is filed under the name uncultured bacterium. RNAcentral describes it as "partial 16S ribosomal RNA". It matches the Rfam family "Bacterial small subunit ribosomal RNA", at positions 338 to 795 of the family's 1533-position model. The record is from RNAcentral.